This 591-nucleotide ribosomal RNA is filed under the name Rhodococcus sp. G-50. RNAcentral describes it as "bacterial SSU rRNA". It matches the Rfam family "Bacterial small subunit ribosomal RNA", at positions 272 to 873 of the family's 1533-position model. The record is from RNAcentral. Lineage: Bacteria; Bacillati; Actinomycetota; Actinomycetes; Mycobacteriales; Nocardiaceae.
GGCGACGACGGGUAGCCGACCUGAGAGGGUGACCGGCCACACUGGGACUGAGACACGGCCCAGACUCCUACGGGAGGCAGCAGUGGGGAAUAUUGCACAAUGGGCGAAAGCCUGAUGCAGCGACGCCGCGUGAGGGAUGACGGCCUUCGGGUUGUAAACCUCUUUCAGCAGGGACGAAGCGAAAGUGACGGUACCUGCAGAAGAAGCACCGGCCAACUACGUGCCAGCAGCCGCGGUAAUACGUAGGGUGCAAGCGUUGUCCGGAAUUACUGGGCGUAAAGAGCUCGUAGGCGGUUUGUCGCGUCGUCUGUGAAAACUCGAGGCUCAACCUCGAGCUUGCAGGCGAUACGGGCAGACUUGAGUACUGCAGGGGAGACUGGAAUUCCUGGUGUAGCGGUGAAAUGCGCAGAUAUCAGGAGGAACACCGGUGGCGAAGGCGGGUCUCUGGGCAGUAACUGACGCUGAGGAGCGAAAGCGUGGGUAGCGAACAGGAUUAGAUACCCUGGUAGUCCACGCCGUAAACGGUGGGCGCUAGGUGUGGGUUUCCUUCCACGGGAUCCGUGCCGUAGCUAACGCAUUAAGCGCCCCGCC